AUUUCCCUAAACCCUCCCCCGCUGCGCUACGCACUGCGGGUCCGUCGCACGGGAGCCGGAUUACCGAAGCCCGCGUUGAACGCAAGUUUCUGAGCUACCAAGUGCCCUAAGACGUUAAGUGUGGUUCAUAGCGUAAAGCGAUGCAAGAAGUAGCUACGCUCUCG
RNAcentral lists this ribosomal RNA (164 nucleotides) under Monttea aphylla. RNAcentral describes it as "5.8S ribosomal RNA". The record is from RNAcentral. Lineage: Eukaryota; Viridiplantae; Streptophyta; Magnoliopsida; Lamiales; Plantaginaceae.